AUUCUCUCAGGAUGCAGAAUCAGAUGUUAUAAUCGAUCUUACUAAAAAUCAGAAGACACACCAGUCCCAAACAGAACCAGAGUUCUUCCACGAUAACCAGGAAAACUACAGGAGGAAUCGUUUAUCGCUGACUAAAAAAAGAAGACCUGUCUCUAAAGCUAUAUGUUCUUCACAACUGAUGAAUGCAAAUGGUUUCAGAACAGUUCCUGAUCAAAAAUCAACCAACAUACAUACGAGAGAUCAGACUUUAACUUCUAAUGAAGAUUCAGUAAUUUACAUCUCAUCUGGCUCGGAAGACAGCUUUGUGCCGCAAGAAGUAUCCGACUUACCUCCUAGGCAGAGAGUUGACGCUGUUGGCAUCACGGCUCCUCCCUCGCCACGUAGAGAAACUACAGCGGACCCGGAACCAGAACAAGAACCAGGACCAGAAGCAGAGUCAGAACCAGAACCAAAGAGGCCUUCUGAUUCUCCUC
This is a non-coding RNA of Poecilia reticulata (guppy), 473 nucleotides long. Lineage: Eukaryota; Metazoa; Chordata; Actinopteri; Cyprinodontiformes; Poeciliidae. The record is from RefSeq and is a predicted model, not a curated record.